UCCAAGCUUUCAUGGUGUAGCCAAAGUCCGUAUGAGUCUUUGGCUUUGUAUCUUCUAACAAGGAAACACUACUUAGGCUUUUAAGAUCGGGUUGCGGUUUAAGUUCUUAUACUCAAUCAUACACAUGACAUAAAGUCAUAUUCGACUCCAAAACACUAACCAAGCUUCUUCUAGCUUCUCAAAGCUUUCAUGGUGUAGCCAAAGUCCGUAUGAGUCUUUGGCUUUGUAUCUUCUAACAAGGAAACACUACUUAGGCUUUUAAGAUCGAGUUGCGGUUUAAGUUCUUAUACUCAAUCAUACACAUUACAUCAAGUCAUAUUUGACUCCAAAACACUAACUAAGCCUCUUCUAGCUUCUCCAAGCUUUCAUGGUUUAGCCAAAUUCUGUAUGAGUUUUUGGCAUUGUAUCUUCUAACAAGGAAACACUACGUAGGCUUUUAAGAUUGGGUUGCGGUUUAAGUUCUUAUACUUAAUCAUACACAUGACAUAUAGUCAUAUUUGACUCCAAAACACUAACCAAGCUUCUUCUAGCUUCUCAAAGCUUUCAUUGUGUAGCCAAAGUCCGUAUGAGUCUUUGGCUUUGUAUCUUCUAACAAGGAAACACUACUAAGGCUUUUAAGAUCGGGUUGCGAUUUAAGUUUUUAUACUCAAUCAUACACAUGACAUCAAGUCAUAUUCGACUCCAAAACACUAACCAACCUUCUUCUUGCUUCUCAAAGCUUUCAUGGUGUAGCCAAAGUCCGUAUGAGUCUUUGGCUUUGUGUCUUCUAACAAGGAUACAAUUCUUACCGCUUUAAGAUACC
Molecule: small RNA, 802 nt
Filed under: Arabidopsis thaliana (thale cress)
Lineage: Eukaryota; Viridiplantae; Streptophyta; Magnoliopsida; Brassicales; Brassicaceae
Description: ATSL088720
Source: RNAcentral